GGCCUUGUAGUGUAAUGGUAACACGUCUUUCUUUCAUUCCAGUUUAAGAUAUGACAAUUUGAAAGAAGUAUCCCGUUCGAUUCGGGACCGGGCCC
Non-coding RNA from Mycena crocata, 95 nucleotides. The record is from the annotation of a GenBank genome assembly. NCBI's taxonomy places the organism in Eukaryota, Fungi, Basidiomycota, Agaricomycetes, Agaricales, Mycenaceae.